GGUUUGUUAGUUUAUAUAGAAAAGCCUCAACUACCACAUUAAAUUGAUUCUGAAUUGAAAAUGAAAAAUGAUGUUUACCAGCCAACUGCAACUGAUAAUCUUACAUCAAAUGAAGACGGAGUUGUCGAAACAACAGUACGCUUUCAAUUACCAUUUAAAUGGAAAGCGUUGAUCGUCGGUUUGUGUUUGCUUUGUUUGAUUUUGUUGAUUUCAUUAAUUGUUGUCGCCAGUAAGAAGAAAUGCGAUUAAAAUUGGCGGGAGAUGUAAAAAAUUUUAAUUUUAUGGGAAUAGUAAAAAAAUAGUUUCAUUAA
Hydra vulgaris (swiftwater hydra) is the source of this 311-nucleotide long non-coding RNA. RefSeq lists it as uncharacterized. The record is from RefSeq and is a predicted model, not a curated record. Lineage: Eukaryota; Metazoa; Cnidaria; Hydrozoa; Anthoathecata; Hydridae.